This is a long non-coding RNA of Xiphias gladius (swordfish), 831 nucleotides long. RefSeq lists it as uncharacterized. Lineage: Eukaryota; Metazoa; Chordata; Actinopteri; Istiophoriformes; Xiphiidae. The record is from RefSeq and is a predicted model, not a curated record. The transcript is spliced from 3 exons.
GCCGCCGCCGCCAGGUGUUAGCAAGGGAAGGCGAAAGGCUGGCUAACAUAAGAUGGAUGAAAAGACUUAGCCUAGGACGAGGUUGUGAUGAAAAGACUCGGGGGUAAAGUUAGUCAAAUGCAAAACUUUAUGGUCGUCUUUGAAAACACAAAGUCCCCUCGGAAAGACCAGAAAAACAAAAACCAAAAACAAACAAAAACAAAGCCAGGCAGGUGAUAGCGGAGCUGUCACCGCCGUGGAAAUUCACGUAGUCCAGCUGGACCACGGCGACCGGUUGAACUUGAGCCGGUUCUGGGUGAAUCGCAACGAGGUUACCUGCCGCCUGGCUACAACCGGGACACCCCCCCCCCCCAAGCUGAGCGUUUAAAAGGACCUGGCUGAGGGGUUGAACUUCCAAGUGGACAUUCGUCAAGUUUUCCCGAUGGAAAAUUUAAUCCCGAGGACGUUGCUACGGGCAGGUUGCCGGCGCACUCCCGAGUUACCUGUGACUACAAAGCGACUCGGUAGAGCAACAGUCAUCUCUAUCACCGAGAGCCAAACUGCGGCUCAUAAGACGAGCUGGUAACAGUCAGACUUCAGCCUUAUUGAGGAGGGCGCAUUCUACAGACGUCGGCCAUCCCCUGACUUUUCCUCCAGCGCCACCAGAGGGGCAUCGCCCCAGCACCCUUCAUGGACCCCGCACCCCGGAGUGUUGGUUGGAAUCAUCGUGAUUACUGCCGCGGCCAUCUGUCACACCGACAAACCCUUGUGAUUUCCAGGUGAGGGAGAAACUCCGUAGACAUUGCCGGCUCGCAUGACACGUGACAGUGCCCGCCGGCGCGGGCCUUCCUG